Sarcophilus harrisii (Tasmanian devil) is the source of this 122-nucleotide non-coding RNA. The record is from Rfam. Lineage: Eukaryota; Metazoa; Chordata; Mammalia; Dasyuromorphia; Dasyuridae.
AUUCUGGUUUUGAUGGAAAUAGAACACAUUGCAGUAUUCAGACCAGGAGGUGAGGAAUACCUGGAUAACUCUGUGCCAGAUCUCUAUCUUGAUUGCAGAGAGCUUCCUGACCAGCUGGGAAU